RNAcentral lists this unclassified non-coding RNA (632 nucleotides) under Hevea brasiliensis (rubber tree). The record is from RNAcentral. Lineage: Eukaryota; Viridiplantae; Streptophyta; Magnoliopsida; Malpighiales; Euphorbiaceae.
GCUACCUAUGCAUCCUUCGCGGGCUAAAAUUCUCUCUCUGAAAACUUUGCCGCUAAUAAAAGUCUAAUCCCAUCGAGCCAACUAUAUAUCUGCGUUCUUGUUUCGUGCACUCUCCGUUGAGCAGCCAUCUCUUUCUGCCUCGCGGGUUUUUUUCUUUGUUUCAUUCAUUUGUCCUCGACGCUGUUGUUUCAACCGCAAGCUCCGCCAAAGGAUCAGUUAUCCCUUUGUUCCCGCCGGAAUACUACUCAUCUAUCUGCUCCUAUGUAUGCGCAUCUCUCAAACGCCUGAAAAAUGGGCUGCGUCAUCGGCAAGACGGCGUCCGGGCAGCGCCGGAGCAUUGCCGGAUCUCCCAACUGUGGCCGGAGCUCCGACCAACCUUCCGUCACCGUUACUGAGGCUGUAAACGCUGUCAGGGAUAAGAAGGAGGUAAAGCAGAGGCAAAAGACUAGACACUCGGGUGAUUUUCAGGCGGAUGUUCCCACGGCAGAGCGUUGGCGGCCACGCCCGGAGCCUUUCCUGAGGAACCAGCAAGGUUGGCCUUCGUGGUUAAUGGCGGGCGCCGGGGAUGCAAACGGGGACUGGACUCCUCCCCGGGGAAACACCUUCGAGAAGCUUGAUAAAAUUUGCCAAAG